CCUGCAAUCGGUGCGCGGAGUCUGAGCGAUCCCAGCCUAGAGAUUCGGUUUCUUGUUGUGACUAUUGCCUGAGCCUUUCGGAGAAUUCGGUAUUGCUAUGCUAGUCUGCUUGUAGAGUGAAUUGGGGGCCAUUUCUCCUGAGAUAGGCAGCAUGGUACCAGCUAUAACCUCCUUGAACUGGCUACUUGAAAGAAGUCUUCCUUCAGUGAUAUCACUUCUUCCAAGAUACAGAAGCCAAAAUAUGGAGUCCACAAAAAAUAGUGAUAAAUCUGGAAACAGCCUACAGGGAUCUUCACUCUGGAUCAUUCUUUAUGUUUAGCACCACCCCAGAUCUUCAACUACCUAAUAUAGAACCCUGGACAUUUUUCUGUGGAAAAAAAAAAAUCAACUAGAGAAGCGUCAGACUCUGAGAUACCAGCAUGCUGAGGAUAAUAGCCAAUGAAGCCAAGAUGUGCUGAAAUCUGACUACUUCAGGAUUAUGUGGAAUGAGGAAAUUUGGAGCUUCUGCUUUUAAACCCUUUUGGAAAUGCACUGGAGACAACUAGUURCUUCUUAUUAUUACACAAAGAAAGCUGCCUGUGAAAGGGUAUGCGGAGUUAAAGGAUAUAUUCAUCAUAUUUGAAGAAUAGCUUACAUUGUCUCAUUACUCAUCCUUAUAUAAAAAGAUCCAAAUUAAGGAACUACACACUCCUAUUUGUCAAAGGAAAAUGUCACUGGUGAGUUACCAAAAAGAUGAGCUUAGGAGUAAUAUUUGAAUAGAAAAUAACUUUUCAGAUG
Urocitellus parryii (Arctic ground squirrel) is the source of this 777-nucleotide long non-coding RNA. RefSeq lists it as uncharacterized. The record is from RefSeq and is a predicted model, not a curated record. NCBI's taxonomy places the organism in Eukaryota, Metazoa, Chordata, Mammalia, Rodentia, Sciuridae.